RNAcentral lists this ribosomal RNA (253 nucleotides) under uncultured bacterium. RNAcentral describes it as "partial 16S ribosomal RNA". It matches the Rfam family "Bacterial small subunit ribosomal RNA", at positions 524 to 776 of the family's 1533-position model. The record is from RNAcentral.
UACGUAGGGUGCGAGCGUUAAUCGGAAUUACUGGGCGUAAAGCGUGCGCAGGCGGUUCGUUAAGUCAGCUGUGAAAGCCCCGGGCUUAACCUGGGAAUGGCGGUUGAAACUGGCGAACUUGAAUCUGGCAGAGGGGGGCGGAAUUCCACGUGUAGCAGUGAAAUGCGUAGAGAUGUGGAGGAACACCGAUGGCGAAGGCAGCCCCCUGGGCUGAGAUUGACGCUCAGGCACGAAAGCGUGGGGAGCAAACAGG